GCCAGCGAGCCAAGCCAGCCAAGACAGCUAGC
RNAcentral lists this non-coding RNA (32 nucleotides) under Homo sapiens (human). The record is from RNAcentral. Lineage: Eukaryota; Metazoa; Chordata; Mammalia; Primates; Hominidae.